GCCCGGUUAGUUCAGUUGGUAGAGCAUCAGACUUUUAAUCUGAGGGCCUUGGGUUCGAGUCCCAUAUCGGGCU
Molecule: transfer RNA, 73 nt
Filed under: Paramuricea clavata
Lineage: Eukaryota; Metazoa; Cnidaria; Anthozoa; Malacalcyonacea; Plexauridae
Rfam family: tRNA
About the family: Transfer RNA (tRNA) molecules are approximately 80 nucleotides in length. Their secondary structure includes four short double-helical elements and three loops (D, anti-codon, and T loops).
Source: Rfam by way of RNAcentral